This 466-nucleotide ribosomal RNA is filed under the name uncultured bacterium. RNAcentral describes it as "partial 16S ribosomal RNA". It matches the Rfam family "Bacterial small subunit ribosomal RNA", at positions 29 to 507 of the family's 1533-position model. The record is from RNAcentral.
ACGAACGCUGGCGGCGUGCUUAACACAUGCAAGUCGCACGGAAAGGCCCUGCUUUUGUGGGGUGCUCGAGUGGCGAACGGGUGAGUAACACGUGAGUAACCUGCCCUUGACUUUGGGAUAACUUCAGGAAACUGGGGCUAAUACCGGAUAGGAGCUCCUGCUGCAUGGUGGGGGUUGGAAAGUUUCGGCGGUUGGGGAUGGACUCGCGGCUUAUCAGCUUGUUGGUGGGGUAGUGGCUACCAAGGCUUUGACGGGUAGCCGGCCUGAGAGGGUGACCGGCCACAUUGGGACUGAGAUACGGCCCAGACUCCUACGGGAGGCAGCAGUGGGGAAUAUUGCACAAUGGGCGGAAGCCUGAUGCAGCAACGCCGCGUGCGGGAUGACGGCCUUCGGGUUGUAAACCGCUUUCGCCUGUGACGAAGCGUGAGUGACGGUAAUGGGUAAAGAAGCACCGGCUAACUACGUG